Long non-coding RNA from Alosa sapidissima (American shad), 106 nucleotides. RefSeq lists it as uncharacterized. The transcript has 3 exons. The record is from RefSeq and is a predicted model, not a curated record. NCBI's taxonomy places the organism in Eukaryota, Metazoa, Chordata, Actinopteri, Clupeiformes, Clupeidae.
UUCUGUUUAUGAGAAUGCACUCACCUCCCUCAAACUCUGUCUGGCAGUUCCCAGAGUUCUCGUUGAGACUCUCCUCCUCAUUAAUGAUGAUGUUCUCGAUGUCCUU